Molecule: ribosomal RNA, 227 nt
Filed under: uncultured bacterium
Lineage: Bacteria
Description: partial 16S ribosomal RNA
Rfam family: Bacterial small subunit ribosomal RNA
Source: RNAcentral
AGUAACGCGUGAGGAACCUGCCUCAAAGAGGGGGACAACAGUUGGAAACGACUGCUAAUACCGCAUAAGCCCACAGCUCGGCAUCGAGCAGAGGGAAAAGGAGCAAUCCGCUUUGAGAUGGCCUCGCGUCCGAUUAGCUAGUUGGUGGGGUAACGGCCCACCAAGGCGACGAUCGGUAGCCGGACUGAGAGGUUGAACGGCCACAUUGGGACUGAGACACGGCCCAG